CCUACGGGUGGCAGCAGUCGAGAAUCAUUCACAAUGGGGGAAACCCUGAUGGUGCGACGCCGCGUGGAGGAAUGAAGGUCUUCGGAUUGUAAACCCCUGUCAUGUGGGAGCAAAUUGAAAAGAUAGUACCACAAGAGGAAGAGACGGCUAACUCUGUGCGAGCAGCCGCGGUAAUACAGAGGUCUCAAGCGUUGUGCGGAAUCACUGAGCGUAAAGCGUGCGUAGGCUGUUUAGUAAGUCGUGUGUGAAAGGGGCGGGCUCAACCCGCGGAUGGCACAUGAAACUGGGAGACUAGAGUAAUGGAGGGGGAAGCGGAAUUCUCGGUGUAGCAGUGAAAUGCGUAGAUAUCGAGAGGAACACUGGUGGCGAAGGCGGGUUCCUGGACAUUAACUGACGCUGAGGCACGAAGGUCAGGGGAGCGAAAGGGAUUAGAUACCCUUGUAGUC
This 446-nucleotide ribosomal RNA is filed under the name uncultured bacterium. RNAcentral's name for it is "partial 16S ribosomal RNA". It matches the Rfam family "Bacterial small subunit ribosomal RNA", at positions 338 to 795 of the family's 1533-position model. The record is from RNAcentral.